GCGCGGAACUGGGCAUCGCUCGUUAUGAAGUCUCAUGCACGGACGUUACCCAUGAUGUGACAAAGAGAGCUAGGGUGUGCAGACGGUCCAUAAGGGAGACCGUGGUGCAUGCUUGUUAACUAUAUUAAUAG
This is a long non-coding RNA of Juglans microcarpa x Juglans regia, 131 nucleotides long. RefSeq lists it as uncharacterized. NCBI's taxonomy places the organism in Eukaryota, Viridiplantae, Streptophyta, Magnoliopsida, Fagales, Juglandaceae. The transcript is spliced from 3 exons. The record is from RefSeq and is a predicted model, not a curated record.